AUUGAACGCUGACGGCAUGCUUUACACAUGCAGGUCGAACGGUAACAGGGUGCUUGCACCGCUGACGAGUGGCGAACGGGUGAGUAAUGCGUCGGAACGUGCCGAGUAGUGGGGGAUAACGCAGCGAAAGUUGUGCUAAUACCGCAUACGUACUGAGGUAGAAAGUGGGGGACCUUCGGGCCUCACGCUAUACGAGCGGCCGACGUCUGAUUAGCUAGUAGGUGAGGUAAAGGCUCACCUAGGCGACGAUCAGUAGCGGGUCUGAGAGGAUGAUCGGCCACACUGGGACUGAGAGACGGCCAAGACUCCUACGGGAGGCAGCAGUGGGGUAUUUUGGACAAUGUGCGGAAGCCUGAUCCAGCCCUGCCGCGUGUCUGAAGAAGGCCUUCGGGUUGUAAAGGACUUUUGUCAGGGAGGAAAUCCCUAGUGCUAAUAACACUGGGGGAUGACAGUACCUGAAGAAUAAGCACCGGCUAACUACGUGCCAGCAGCCGCGGUAA
This 500-nucleotide ribosomal RNA is filed under the name uncultured bacterium. Its description in RNAcentral is "partial 16S ribosomal RNA". It matches the Rfam family "Bacterial small subunit ribosomal RNA", at positions 30 to 523 of the family's 1533-position model. The record is from RNAcentral.